This 75-nucleotide transfer RNA is filed under the name Paracoccaceae bacterium. Its description in RNAcentral is "Rhodobacteraceae bacterium (marine metagenome) tRNA-Val". It matches the Rfam family "tRNA". From Rfam's summary of the family: Transfer RNA (tRNA) molecules are approximately 80 nucleotides in length. Their secondary structure includes four short double-helical elements and three loops (D, anti-codon, and T loops). Lineage: Bacteria; Pseudomonadati; Pseudomonadota; Alphaproteobacteria; Rhodobacterales; Paracoccaceae. RNAcentral also lists the same sequence under 3 other names. The record is from RNAcentral.
GGGCGUAUAGCUCAGCGGUAGAGCACUACGUUGACAUCGUAGGGGUCACUGGUUCGAUCCCAGUUACGCCCACCA